GAAUUCGCCCUUAGAGUUUGAUCCUGGCUCAGGAUGAACGCUGGCGGCGUGCUUAACACAUGCAAGUCGAAUGGGAAUUACUUUAUUGAAACUUCGGUCGAUUUAAUUUAAUUCUAGUGGCGGACGGGUGAGUAACGCGUGGGUAACCUGCCUUAUACAGGGGGAUAACAGUCAGAAAUGGCUGCUAAUACCGCAUAAGCGCACAGAGCUGCAUGGCUCAGUGUGAAAAACUCCGGUGGUAUAAGAUGGACCCGCGUUGGAUUAGCUGGUUGGUGGGGUAACGGCCCACCAAGGCGACGAUCGGUAGCCGGACUGAGAGGUUGAACGGCCACAUUGGGACUGAGACACGGCCCAGACUCCUACGGGAGGCAGCAGUGGGGAAUAUUGCACAAUGGGGGAAACCUUGAUGCAGCGACGCCGCGUGGAGGAAGAAGGUCUUCGGAUUGUAAACUCCUGUUGUUGAGGAAGAUAAUGACGGUACUCAACAAGGAAGUGACGGCUAACUACGUGCCAGCAGCCGCGGUAAAACGUAGGUCACAAGCGUUGUCCGGAAUUACUGGGUGUAAAGGGAGCGCAGGCGGGAAGACAAGUUGGAAGUGAAAUCUAUGGGCUCAACCCAUAAACUGCUUUCAAAACUGUUUUUCUUGAGUAGUGCAGAGGUAGGCGGAAUUCCCGGUGUAGCGGUGGAAUGCGUAGAUAUCGGGAGGAACACCAGUGGCGAAGGCGGCCUACUGGGCACCAACUGACGCUGAGGCUCGAAAGUGUGGGUAGCAAACAGGAUUAGAUACCCUGGUAGUCCACACCGUAAACGAUGAUUACUAGGUGUUGGAGGAUUGACCCCUUCAGUGCCGCAGUUAACACAAUAAGUAAUCCACCUGGGGAGUACGACCGCAAGGUUGAAACUCAAAGGAAUUGACGGGGGCCCGCACAAGCAGUGGAGUAUGUGGUUUAAUUCGACGCAACGCGAAGAACCUUACCAAGUCUUGACAUCCUGCGACGAUGCUGGAAACAGUAUUUUCCUUCGGGACGCAGAGACAGGUGGUGCAUGGUUGUCGUCAGCUCGUGUCGUAAGAUGUUGGGUUAAGUCCCGCAACGAGCGCAACCCUUACUGUCAGUUACUACGCAAGAGGACUCUGGCAGGACUGCCGUUGACAAAACGGAGGAAGGUGGGGAUGACGUCAAAUCAUCAUGCCCUUUAUGACUUGGGCUACACACGUACUACAAUGGCGUUAAACAAAGAGAAGCAAGACCGCGAGGUGGAGCAAAACUCAGAAACAACGUCCCAGUUCGGACUGCAGGCUGCAACUCGCCUGCACGAAGUCGGAAUUGCUAGUAAUCGUGGAUCAGCAUGCCACGGUGAAUACGUUCCCGGGCCUUGCACACACCGCCCGUCA
RNAcentral lists this ribosomal RNA (1394 nucleotides) under uncultured bacterium. RNAcentral describes it as "bacterial SSU rRNA". It matches the Rfam family "Bacterial small subunit ribosomal RNA". The record is from RNAcentral.